UUAAAAAGCUCGUAGUUGAAUCUGUGUGUCACGAUGUUGGUUCACCGCUCGCGGUGUUUAACUAGCAUGCCGUGAGACGUCCUACCGGUGGGCUUAGCCCUUCGGGGCGGUCCAACUAGAAUCCCAUCGCGGUGCUCUUCAUUGAGUGUCGAGGU
RNAcentral lists this ribosomal RNA (155 nucleotides) under Masona sp. BIOUG22514-D02. Its description in RNAcentral is "partial small subunit ribosomal RNA". The record is from RNAcentral. Lineage: Eukaryota; Metazoa; Arthropoda; Insecta; Hymenoptera; Ichneumonidae.